Quercus robur (English oak) is the source of this 323-nucleotide long non-coding RNA. RefSeq lists it as uncharacterized. Lineage: Eukaryota; Viridiplantae; Streptophyta; Magnoliopsida; Fagales; Fagaceae. The transcript is spliced from 3 exons. The record is from RefSeq and is a predicted model, not a curated record.
AGCUAAUGAUGAUGAUGGCAAUUACUCAGUCCCAACGCCAAUUGAAUCCUAGCAGAGGUGUGGUUGCCUUUUCGGUUGUCACCGUUGGCAUCAACAGAUGGAUACAAGAAGAGAGAAGUUUUGAUGCUAAGGUUGACAGUCAUAAGUGGAGAGAUUCCUAAUCCAAUUAAAUUUCCAAUAUAUAUUCUCUUUGGAUCUGUUGAUUUUUCAUACUUUACAUUGUUUUUGGGCAGUACUGGUAACUGAUAGGUAUUUGGCAAUUUUUUAUUUGGGUUAUUUGGAACUAUGGAUCCUUAUCUGUGUAAGACUCUUAAUACGAUAGC